AUAUCCUGGGUGGAGGAAUUGAGUAAUCCUGGGAGCUCCUCCGGGCCAAAAUGUGCAUAGAUAAGAAAAUUUGAAUAACGACUAGAAAUUGUUCUAGCAUAUGUAGGAAUAGUAAGGUCGAAUAGUCUUUUGUUCACUGCCAAGGUAAUUAGAAUGUUUUGUAGGUACUUAAAAUUAGCCCAUAGGAAUUUAUUGCGCCCUUAUUAAGGUAGUUUUCCUGCUUAUAGGACUAGGAUCUAGCAGGAUCACUAGGGUUGUAAAAAUUUAUCUCAAUUACACAAUUCAGGAGUCUGACCUGAUCCAGUGAAGAUGCCAUUGCAACACUUGAAAUGGGGAGACCUGCACCAUCUGCAUAGUGGUUGACGGUCCUGUUUGAGAGCUUUGCUUCUCCAUGAAAGCAUUUCGUUAUAAGUGCAAAAGAUCACAGGCAGGACCCGGCUUAGAGAACAAUAUGGAGACCUCUGGGUUGCCCCAGCAUCACGGGAGAGCUGCCCAGACCAGUUCUUCCAGCUGAAAUCUACUGACUGUUGAAGUCCGGAGGUGUUUGUGCCCUGCGUCAUCCCAGCAGGACCAUUUCACCCACGCCCUGCACUGUUUGCUUUUUCUGGGAAACAGUCAAACUCAUCUUGCAAGAUAGCCAGCCUGGGAUUAUGCCUAAGAGUAUGUGUUCUGAGCGCGGUUUAGUAUAAGGAGUUGCAAUCUCCCACUCCUCACUAAGAAAUCUGGGAUAUUCAUAUAAGGUUCAAGAAACUCGAAACUACAGCUUGUCUGUCAAGGCAAAGAGCAUAAUAGGGCAUUCCACCCUAUAGUAGUGUAAUUUUUCUUCCAGAUUUUUCAACAACAGAGUGCUGUCUAGCAGAUUUGUAUGACCUAGAUCCAAAGAUUGAUGACAGUAGCUUGUUGAACUUAAAAACACUUUUGAAAUUUAGUGAUACAUAUGCACAAAGCUUCUACACAGAGGAUUCUGUUCACUUUAGUCGUCUUAUUCCCCAUAUAGUUCCUUUUUUGGCAGACCUCAUACAGGUUGCAAUUUCUCCACAUGUCUAAAUUCCACAUGUUUUGUCCUGUACAGGUCUAUGAGAUUCUUGAAUUUUACUGGCGAAUAAAUUAAACCUUUUUAAGAAGUAGGUGAGAGUGUACCAUGAAGAAAGUCAAACUCUAAUCCUUCCAGGAUCCAUUUCCAAACCUUUGUUGAGUAACCAAACACAACACAGUGGAGUGAGUCAGGCAUAUUCAGAAUGUAUGAAGAGUCAAACCUAGCUUAAAAGUAAUGAAGGGUAAAAUAAUUUGUUUACCAUUGGACUAAAAAGUACAUAAUUAGUUUAAAAGCAGGAAGGAAUUGCAACCUGAGGGCAAGCUGUUCCAGUUAAUUAUGGAACCGGGUGCAGAGCAUAAUGAGAGAAAAGAUAUUGUGUAGAAAACUAGCAAUUGCCAGUUGAAUAGUGAAAACCACAUGGGGGAAAAAAAGUAAAUACCGUAUCACAUGUCCCUUUAACCACUGUAAAAAUACUUGCUGCUUUUUCGAAUCUUGGGGUGGACUUCUUUCAAGUUAAACAGGAUGUCCAUUGACGCCUUCUGGAGCUGCUAGCUACCAUCCAAGUCAGACCCUCUCUCAGAAAAACUGACUCUUCAGGCCGUGUAUAACCAGUAACAUAAACACAUCUGCUCCUGACUGAGUAGCCAGGCCCUCUAAGGACAGCUCUAACUAUUUGUGAUGGAUUAUUCGUUUUACAAAGCAUUACAUUUAAGUGCUUUAAAGUAUAUUCGAAAAUUCCACUGGAAGCAAAUUGCCUUGUAGAGUUGUCUUGCACCAGCUGUAUAUAAGAUUAAUUGUUAGGCAGCACCAAACCACACUGUGUGGGAAUCAUAUUACAGUCCUUGUAGUGAUUGAUGCACAGAACUAUGAAAGGUUAGGUGCACUUCCUGACCCCUUUGUUUCUUGGAAAGGAGAAACAAGAUCUAAUAAAUUAUGCAAUUUUAAGCAGAGGAGUAACAUUUCUUGGUAGCAGAAAUACAAUAUAUGUAUGGGGUUUACUAGAUAGGCCGCACACCACACUGUCAGAGCAGGAAGUCUGUUUAUUCUAAAGUGACAGUCUUAGCAAGCACAGGUCUUUUGAGCUGUCUUUCAGGUCUGAAUAGUGAAUGUAAGCAUUAUUGUUUUUCUCCUAUGUGAUUAUUCAUAUGUAUACAGUGAAUGUAAGCAUUAUUCUUAUUUCUCGUACGUGAUUCUUCACAUGUAUACUCUGACUCCCUGACAAAAUAAUGGUCCAUGCAUAUUGACAGAUGCAUUCUUUAGUGUACAAUCAUAUCCGUUUUCCUGCCAAGAGUCAAAGUUUGACUUGAAAGAGUGGGCUAGAUUCCCCUGCUGCUUGUGAGAGCUCCCAAAUGGGGAGGCCAUCCUUGGUCCCAGAUUCUUUGUGGAGAUACAGGACCAGCCAGCUCCCUGCCCACACACUCUGAUGACACUGAAAUCCCACCUUCUGUUUUGCUGUGGUAUCUAUACUACUUGGAUUAACUGUAAUCUUCCUUUUUUCACCACUUACAUUAAAUCACUCCUAUCUUGUUUAUAUCUAGCCUUCUUAAGUAAGGAUUUCCUCUCUUUGUCAAUAUAAGGAUCCCAAAGCUCAACUAUGGCCAGUAGUACUAAUUACUAUCAUACUGAUAAUGAAUACACACAGAAUAAUUAACCCACUGCUGCCUAUAAAAUUAUAUUCUUGUUAAGAGUCUGGGAUUCCAUUUAGAGACAUUGAUUAUCUGAUUAUCUUCCUUUGUCAUAUUCAGGCUUUUAGUCCUCACCUUUUUGCCACAUGAAAUAUCAAAGAUAUGUAUUCUAUUUAAUCUCUUCUAUGUUUUUACUUUGGUUGCUCCAUAUAGUCAUGUUUCUGCUUUAAUUUACAGCUUUAUAUAUUGUAAAUUCCUCAUAAAUUCAGUUGGCUUUCCUAAUCCUUUAAUUUCACCAUUUCUUUAAUCUAUUUUUCUUCCUUUCAACUUCCUAGACCCUACCCUGGUGCUUUCUAAGCUUCAAGCUGCACAAUUUCUGUUCACCAUCAGUCUCCUUCAAGCCUCUCUGGAGACAGUUUAACCAGAAAACUUUCCUGCUCCUGCUUUUUGUACUGAUUAUUGUUGUUUGAACACAAUUCCCUCAAAGCUUUUAUUUACAUUGUUCAUGUAAUAAGUUACACAGUGAAAAUUAACAUCAUCAGAGGAAAUACUUUUUUUUGAUGACUGAGAAGAACUCUUUGUACAUUACCUGCUUAAAAUAGUAAACAGUGAAAAAUUGAAGUAUAAAUAUUUUUAAUGAGAAGGCAUCUGUUCCCUGCCUUUUUUAUGAAUCAACCAUCUCACAAGAUUAAUAAGAAUGAAACUCAGCUAGGGCUUCUCUUUUUCACUAGAAAUCACCGUUUUUCAAAAACUACAUACAUUCAGUUAGAUUUUGUUGAAAUUGAGCAGUAAGAUCAAAAGAUAAAGAGGGGGAAAGAGUUUGUUGCCAGUGAGUCAGAAGGCCAGGCAGGCAGUGUGGUUUGACCUACCAAGUAAAUAGGAGAGAAGAAGGGAUAAAGACCAGGAACUGGUUCCUGCCUUUGGGUGGGCAGUGCCCUGGAGGUGCCCUGUGGGCUGGGAGAUCCUUUUGGAUGUUGUAGGGUGUUGUUGCACUGUGGUCAGUGCAUUGACUAAGACACCCACAUUAAUGGCAGCCCAUGAGAGUGGAGGCAGUGAUCCCACAUGCUUAAGUGCACUUUCUCCUGAAGCUCUUGACAGCACCUAAGUUCUGAACCAAGAGAAAACACUUAAAUUCAAUUUUGAGGCAUUCCAGGAAGUAGAAUAGGCUGUACAGCUACAGAAGCCCAGACAUGGGGAGAAUGAUUUCCCAUCCUGGCUACACUUUUUAGACUCUAAUGUAUCUCUGUUGUUCCCAGGAGGAUAGGUUUCCAUUGACCUGUACAUUCAGAUUUGUUAACUGUUUGUCUUUGUACCAGAGAGAAUUGUAUAUGAACUUCCACCACCAUGAGUUAACACCCUCAUCUCCAUGUGCAGACGUAGAUGGAAGAAUCUGCACUGCUAGCAGGUCUGUUGGACACUUGAUGGCAGUAUUUGCUCUGGGUUUUUCAUCCGGUAACUCCAUUAACUCUGUUUAAUGCAAUCUCCGGAGAGCUGUAGGCAUUUUGGGAAGGGGGCACAGGACAGAAGGGAGUCACAGAAGAGGAGUGGAAGGACAAUAAAUAUGAUUUAGUCUCUUCAGUCCUAAUGCCACAGCUGUCAAAAACUAUUUUCCUUUAACUAUUUCAUUUUCCUAGUUAUUCUUGACUUUCUGCCUUGGGAGCUGACCUGUCUGUUCGAUCUCAGGACAAAAGUUACAUAAACAGAUUUGAAAUCUAUCACAGUGCAGCUAAUAAUGUUGAUCUGGUUUCUAUUGAUUAAAAAUAAAGAUAGGAUUGUUAUGACAGCAUUAGCCUCCAAUAAUUAUUGUCUUCAAGGGACUACAAUUCUUCUGCAGUGGCUGAAGUACUUGUCAACUUGCAGGUGCUAGGGAAUAUGUCUAAACAGGUGAGUAGGUGAGAGCAGUCCCCAGAUGUAAUGAGCAGCCUCCUACACAGCUUCCUGCUGAUACUUUGGGAAGUGAUUAUCUGAGAGUGGCUAGCCUGUAUAGAUGACCAAACCAAUCCCUUCUAAUGCUGCCCAGAAAUGGCAGAGGUAGAAAGGUGUCAAGAAACCAUCUACGGGGAGUUGGCAAGUGCAUCCUGGCUCAGUACAAGAGCUACGGUGAGCAGGAAUGCAGAAACCGCCUUAGCACAUAUAUACCAAUACCUAAUUUCAACCCCUUCUGUGCUCUGAAACUUGCAUCAAACCUACCUUAUUAUCAAAUAAAAUUUGUGUAAAUGCUUGCGUUUCA
Molecule: long non-coding RNA, 4891 nt
Organism: Haemorhous mexicanus (house finch)
Lineage: Eukaryota; Metazoa; Chordata; Aves; Passeriformes; Fringillidae
Exons: 2
Source: RefSeq, a predicted model, not a curated record